UAGCCGUAAACGAUACUCGCUAGGUGUCGGCCACGGUGCGACCGUUGUCGGUGCCGUAGGGAAGCCGUGAAGCGAGCCACCUGGGAAGUACGGUCGCAAGGCUGAAACUUAAAGGAAUUGGCGGGGGAGCACAACAACGGGUGGAGCUUGCGGUUUAAUUGGAUUCAACGCCGGAAAUCUUACCGGGACCGACAGCAACAUGAAGGCCAAGCUGAAGACUUUGCCGGAUUAGCUGAGAGGAGGUGCAUGGCGUCAGUGACU
RNAcentral lists this ribosomal RNA (261 nucleotides) under uncultured archaeon. RNAcentral describes it as "partial 16S ribosomal RNA". It matches the Rfam family "Archaeal small subunit ribosomal RNA", at positions 748 to 1008 of the family's 1478-position model. The record is from RNAcentral.